AGAGUUUGAUUCUGGCUCAGGACGAACGCUGGCGGCGUGCUUAACACAUGCAAGUCGAGCGGUAAGGCCCUUUCGGGGGUACACGAGCGGCGAACGGGUGAGUAACACGUGGGUGACCUGCCCUCAGCUCUGGGAUAAGCCCGGGAAACUGGGUCUAAUACUGGAUAUGACUCCGCGGUGCAUGCCGUGGGGUGGAAAGCCUUGUGCGGCUGAGGAUGGGCCCGCGGCCUAUCAGCUUGUUGGUGGGGUGAUGGCCUACCAAGGCGACGACGGGUAGCCGGCCUGAGAGGGCGACCGGCCACACUGGGACUGAGACACGGCCCAGACUCCUACGGGAGGCAGCAGUGGGGAAUCUUGCGCAAUGGGCGAAAGCCUGACGCAGCGACGCCGCGUGAGGGAUGACGGCCUUCGGGUUGUAAACCUCUUUCAGCUCCGACGAAGCGAAAGUGACGGUAGGAGCAGAAGAAGCACCGGCCAACUACGUGCCAGCAGCCGCGGUAAU
RNAcentral lists this ribosomal RNA (502 nucleotides) under uncultured Actinomycetes bacterium. RNAcentral's name for it is "bacterial SSU rRNA". It matches the Rfam family "Bacterial small subunit ribosomal RNA", at positions 8 to 524 of the family's 1533-position model. Lineage: Bacteria; Bacillati; Actinomycetota; Actinomycetes. The record is from RNAcentral.